RNAcentral lists this ribosomal RNA (1144 nucleotides) under Micrococcus luteus. RNAcentral's name for it is "bacterial SSU rRNA". It matches the Rfam family "Bacterial small subunit ribosomal RNA", at positions 53 to 1213 of the family's 1533-position model. The record is from RNAcentral. Lineage: Bacteria; Bacillati; Actinomycetota; Actinomycetes; Micrococcales; Micrococcaceae.
ACUGCCAAGUCGAACGAUGAAGCCCAGCUUGCUGGGUGGAUUAGUGGCGAACGGGUGAGUAACACGUGAGUAACCUGCCCUUAACUCUGGGAUAAGCCUGGGAAACUGGGUCUAAUACCGGAUAGGAGCGUCCACCGCAUGGUGGGUGUUGGAAAGAUUUAUCGGUUUUGGAUGGACUCGCGGCCUAUCAGCUUGUUGGUGAGGUAAUGGCUCACCAAGGCGACGACGGGUAGCCGGCCUGAGAGGGUGACCGGCCACACUGGGACUGAGACACGGCCCAGACUCCUACGGGAGGCAGCAGUGGGGAAUAUUGCACAAUGGGCGCAAGCCUGAUGCAGCGACGCCGCGUGAGGGAUGACGGCCUUCGGGUUGUAAACCUCUUUCAGUAGGGAAGAAGCGAAAGUGACGGUACCUGCAGAAGAAGCACCGGCUAACUACGUGCCAGCAGCCGCGGUAAUACGUAGGGUGCGAGCGUUAUCCGGAAUUAUUGGGCGUAAAGAGCUCGUAGGCGGUUUGUCGCGUCUGUCGUGAAAGUCCGGGGCUUAACCCCGGAUCUGCGGUGGGUACGGGCAGACUAGAGUGCGGUAGGGGAGACUGGAAUUCCUGGUGUAGCGGUGGAAUGCGCAGAUAUCAGGAGGAACACCGAUGGCGAAGGCAGGUCUCUGGGCUGUAACUGACGCUGAGGAGCGAAAGCAUGGGGAGCGAACAGGAUUAGAUACCCUGGUAGUCCAUGCCGUAAACGUUGGGCACUAGGUGUGGGGACCAUUCCACGGUUUCCGCGCCGCAGCUAACGCAUUAAGUGCCCCGCCUGGGGAGUACGGCCGCAAGGCUAAAACUCAAAGGAAUUGACGGGGGCCCGCACAAGCGGCGGAGCAUGCGGAUUAAUUCGAUGCAACGCGAAGAACCUUACCAAGGCUUGACAUGUUCUCGAUCGCCGUAGAGAUACGGUUUCCCCUUUGGGGCGGGUUCACAGGUGGUGCAUGUAUGUCGUCACCUCGUGUCGUGAAAAGUUGGGUUAAGUCCCGCACCAAGCGCAACCCUCGUUCCUGUUGCCAGCACCUCCUGGUGGGAACCCAUGGGAAACUGCCGGGGUCAACCCGAAGAAGGGGAGGAAAACUCCAAUUUUCUGCCCUUUUUUUUUGGG